UAGGAUGUAAACACAUAGUGGAGGAGCAUUAUUUAAACUAAGGAGAAUAUACCAGUUGCAAAGUGUGAAUAAGCAAAAUAAUAUAGCAAGCAAACAGUAGGAACAAACUCAAAUUCCCAGCAGGACACUUGAAGGAUCGAAGAGAACUCAAAGGUGUUUCAGAAAGCAAAAAGUAGAAGUAUAGGAAAAAGAGAGUAGAAAGCAGAGUGCUUAAUACUAUGUGUAAGAAUGUAACUCGAGAGUCUUAGUCUAAUUGUGUGUCUCAAGUGCAGAAAAGUAUGUUCAAGUGUAGAAGAGUAGCCCCUUUUAUAUUGCAGAAAACAAGUAUGAAGAGGUAAGAAAUAACUUUGAAAACCAGUCUCAAUGAUUUGCCUUUAGUCAAGGGAUUUGAUUUCAAACGUGCAUGAG
Molecule: long non-coding RNA, 408 nt
Filed under: Nicotiana benthamiana
Lineage: Eukaryota; Viridiplantae; Streptophyta; Magnoliopsida; Solanales; Solanaceae
Description: long non-coding RNA (NBEN_LNC022843)
Source: RNAcentral